Molecule: RNA transcript, 4755 nt
Organism: Aedes albopictus (Asian tiger mosquito)
Lineage: Eukaryota; Metazoa; Arthropoda; Insecta; Diptera; Culicidae
Gene: Fs(2)Ket
Gene name: importin subunit beta
Exons: 6
Source: RefSeq, a predicted model, not a curated record
AAAUUGCGGUCACCUUUCGCCCGCAAAUGCCUUGACGGCGGGCGUUGUUCUCGCGGUUCGUUUUUUCGGGAUGAGCGCGGCGCUGCAAAAAUUGACUUCUUCUUUUUGGCACAUUGCUUUGCAACCGCAGCCAGCAAGCAGUGAGCUAAGCUCAGAGAUAGGAGGCCGGCCGUACCGAAGAGGAAUUAAAAACGCGAUUUUUGCCAAUCUCCCUGUCCAAAAGCAGUGAAAUUUUAUCGGGAAUCGCAAGAAAACCGAUCGUGCGUUGCCGUGUUCGCGAAAAACAGUGCGGAAAGUAUCGACCAGCCGUUUUCCCGUCGAGGUGAAUCUCGUUCAGCAGCCCCGCAGAGGAUAUCCCAGGUGGAAGUCCUUUUUUCUUCGCCGCGAGUGUGGUGUGGAUCUGUCUGGAAGCAAGAAAAGAGGCACAGAACAGAGCGAAGGAGCUAGAAGAACGAAAAAGCGAAGCGAUUCAUCGUUCAUCGCGCUGUGCGUGUGUGAAAAUUGUGGAAAAGGUUUUUAAUUGCGUUCGGGAAAAGUGUGAAAAGAGUGCGGAUUGUUGGCGUUUUUUGGUGGCCGUGAUAGGUGCCGUCCAAGUUCCGACAAAAUGCAGAUCGUCCAAAUCCUCGAGAAGACCGUGUCACCAGACAAAGAUGAGCUGCUGGCAGCUAAGAACUUCCUGGAGCAAGCGGCCGCAACCAACCUGCCCGGCUUCAUUCGAGCCCUGUCCGAUGUGCUGGUGUUUGCCGGUAACUCCGCGGUGGCCCGUAUGGCCGCCGGUUUGCAGCUAAAGAAUCAGCUCACCAGCAAGGAUGCAGCCAUAAAGUUCCAGUACCAGGAAAGGUGGCUCUCCUUCCCGGAGGAUAUGCGAGAGUAUGUUAAAAAGAAUAUCGUCGCAUCUCUCGGAACGGAAAGCACCCGCCCUUCAUCUGCAGCACAGUGCGUCGCUUAUGUGGCCGUGGCUGAACUUCCCGUAGGACAGUGGCCUGAUUUGAUACAAAAGCUGGUGGACAAUGUAGUCAACGACAAGUCCACGGAAAUGCAACGGGAGGCCACCCUGGAAGCCAUCGGUUACAUCUGUCAGGAUAUCAAUUCAGAAAUCCUCGAGCAUCAGUCGAAUCAGAUCUUGACGGCAAUUAUCCAUGGAAUGCGAAAGUCGGAACCGUCGAACCAUGUCCGGUUGGCCGCUACCAAUGCUUUGCUCAACUCGUUGGAAUUCACAAAGGCCAACUUCGAGGAAGCGACGGAGAGGAACUACAUCAUGGAAGUUGUCUGCGAAGCGACUCAGUGCAGCGACACUCAGAUCUGUGUGGCCGCUCUUCAGUGUUUGGUAAAGAUUCUCACCCUCUACUAUCAGCACAUGGAAGCAUACAUGGCUCAGGCUCUGUUUCCGAUCACCCUGGAAGCGAUGAAGUCCGACAACGAGCAAAUAGCCCUACAGGGUAUCGAGUUCUGGUCCAAUGUAAGCGAUGAGGAAAUCGAUCUGGCCAUCGAAGCCCAGGAAGCGGCCGAAGCAGGACGACCUCCAAAUCGAGUGUCCCGUCAUUAUGCCCGUGGAGCCCUGCAAUUUCUCGCUCCGGUGCUGAUGGAGAAGCUCACACGACAGGAAGAGUUCGACGACGAAGACGAUUGGAACCCGUCCAAGUCGGCCGGAGUGUGUUUGAUGCUGUUGGCCACCUGCUGUGAAGAUGAGAUCGUUCCCUAUGUCUUGCCGUUCGUCAACAAUAACAUCAAGAGUACGAACUGGCGCUACCGGGACGCUGCUCUGAUGGUGUUUGGAUCGAUUCUCAGCGGACUGGAAGCAAACACGUUGAAGCCUCUAGUCGAACAAGCCAUGCCUACGCUAAUCGAACUGAUGUACGAUCAGAGCGUGAUUGUGAGGGACACCUGUGCAUGGACCUUCGGCAGGAUAUGUGAGGUCAUUCCAGAAGCCGCCAUCAACGAGCAGUAUCUGGAGCCACUUCUGAAGGCUCUGCUGAACGGCUUGAAGGCAGAACCCCGUGUAGCUACCAAUGUUUGCUGGGCAUUCACUGGUCUAUCGGAAGCCGCCUAUGAUGCGGCCAACGUUGUUGACGACCCACCGCAGACGUACUGCCUUUCGCAGUAUUUCGAUUUCAUCAUAAGCAACCUGCUGGAAACGACCGAUCGUCAUGACGGUGGCCAGGCCAACCUACGCUCGUCCGCUUACGAAGCCCUUAUGGAGAUGAUCAAGAACUCGCCGCAGGAUUGCUACGUUUCGGUGCAAAAGACGACGAUGGUCAUUUUGGAGCGGCUCAACCAAGUUCUUCAGAUGGAAUCGCACAUUUCCACCCACUCGGAUCGGCAUCAGUUCAACGAUUUGCAGUCGCUGUUGUGUGCCACGUUGCAGUCGGUCCUACGGAAGGUCGAUGCCAAGGACGCUCCUCAGAUCUCAGACGCCAUCAUGACCGCUCUGUUGACGAUGUUCAGUUCGAGCUCGGGCAAAGUAGGCGGCGUGCAGGAGGAUGCUUUGAUGGCAGUGUCUACUUUGGUUGAUCUACUUGGAGAGGGUUUCAUCAAGUACAUGGACGCUUUCAAGGAAUAUCUGUACAUGGGUCUGAAGAAUCACCAGGAGUAUCAGGUUUGCUGCACGGCGGUCGGACUGGCCGGCGACAUUUGCCGAGGACUGAAAAACAAAAUUCUUCCAUACUGUGACGAAAUCAUGACAUUGCUCCUAGAAAAUCUUAGCAAUCCUUCGAUCCAUCGAAGUGUAAAACCACAGAUUUUAUCCGUAUUUGGCGAUAUGGCGCUAAGCAUUGGUCCGGACUUUAAGAAAUACCUGAACAUUGUCCUGCAAAUGUUGACGCAUGCGACGCAAGUACAGAUCGAUCCGAACGAUUACGACAUGAUUGACUACCUGAAUGAGCUGCGCGAGAGCGUCCUGGAAGCGUACACCGGAAUCGUCCAAGGUCUCAAAGGAGUGGACAAAUCUCCUAACGAUGACGUCAAUCUCCUCCAGCCACACGUACACUUCAUCAUCAAUUACGUCAUCUCGAUUGCCAAGGACAGUGAACUUUCGGACGGUAACAUUGCCAUCGCGUCCGGUCUCAUCGGUGAUAUGUGCUCGGCUUUCGGACCCCCACUGUUGCAGCUGGUGGAAGACGUCCACAUCCAGCAGCUACUGGCCGAGGGCAAGAACUCCCGGACGGGUCGCACCAAGACGCUCGCCAACUGGGCACUGAAGGAAAUUAAAAAGCUAAAGCAGCCGGCAAACGACGCGAGUUGGCGACUCAAAUGAACUGGUAGUUGAGAGUUGUAAACAUAUUAGGAGAAGUGGAAUGCUGAGUUAAUCGGGUGUGCGUUUGAUUGAGGAAAUGUCUGUGUGAUCGAGAUGCAAAUGGAACGAGUGAUCCAGUGAAAAAGAAUUAAUCGAGAGAUGGAAAACGGAUUUGGACGGUGCGAAUCAGCUCUUUAAUUGUAGGAUUUGGUUCGGAAGCAUCAACGGUAACACGCUCAACUACACAUCAGCCAACGGUUCCAGCGGCGGCCCCAACAGUAGCAGCACAGUCCCAGCAAUGUAAUCCUGCCCAGCUCACAUCCGCCGCCGCGACUUCGAUGAUGAUUCACCAGGACCAAGAUGAACCCUUCCGAUGCAACUACUACUACAGCGACAAUCUUUGCUUCGACGUGUCGUUGCAGAUCUAGAGCAUUGUCGUCCGCGGGAAUUUUUACCAUUUCGAACGAAUCCUUGGUCCUGGUCAUCACCAGCUUCAAGAAAAUCACACAUACAAACACACCUACAUCCAAGUAAGUCACAGCCGUAGUUCUUUAUCUCGUAGUAUUUUCGGGGUCUCUGUGUGCUUUCGCGACCAAAGAAGAAAAAGCAGAACAUCCAGGUUGGCGUUGGUCGGCAAUUUUGGCGGCACUAAACAUGCGGCGAGGGGUUGGAGUAUAACGAUUGGGUUCUGGGGCAGAAGCAUGAUCGAUCUGUACAGUCGAGCAGAGAAACAGGAAAAUGUAAAUCUGUGUUGUAGUGAAAGAUAAAUUAUUGCUGUGCUAAGCUAAUCAAAUUAAAUCAAUUAUCCAACAGAGAAAAAACAUGCGAACAUAAGCAAAUCUUACCCAAUUAUGGAACACACAUACAUACACACACACAGACAGACAUACGGACAUACGGACGUACGGCCAGAACAUCUUUCCUUCUUAAAUAUAUUAUAUGAACACCAGUUUUUCCGAAAAGUAAACUACACAAACAAAAAUUCGCCGUAGAGGAUAGUGGAAGCGUGUGCCAUAGUGAAACGGAAAAGAAAAUCUCGUUUCGAGAAGAAUAGAAGGCCCUGGGGGUCCGCCAAAUUCCAAUUGUAAAGUUGUUAUCCACCUCUGUUACUUUCACCGUGGCACUCGUUCUUUUUUAUUUUUUGUUUAUUCUUUUGACACAGCAUACAAAUUUCGACAAACGAAACAACUCAACAAACACACACCCAAUACUACAUAUAUUUCAGUAAGUAAAAUUAACAAAAACAAACAGAAAUAAUAUUUAAUUACAGUUAUAUGAAGAUCAAGAUCAAUAUGGAUCGAUUUAAAUAUCCACCAUAUGCAAGAAGAAGCAGAAGAAACGGGGGAACGAAAUACUUCUGAUUCGACAAAUAUUACAGCGAGGGAAAUCUAGUGUUUAGGUGGUUAGGAGAGGAACAUUGGCCAGCGCUCGAGAGUUGUUUGUUCUGUUUAUUUUUUUUUUAUAUGCUUAAGUCGUCUCUGUGAGGCAAAAAACUAUUACAAUAGUACACACGAUCGAGUUUU